This 22-nucleotide non-coding RNA is filed under the name Arabidopsis thaliana (thale cress). Lineage: Eukaryota; Viridiplantae; Streptophyta; Magnoliopsida; Brassicales; Brassicaceae. The record is from RNAcentral.
CAGGUUUACGUUUUGGCGGGAA